CGCACGUCACGGCGGAGACGACACCCGGCGGAGGGUGGUGCGCGCAGGCGGACGGGGCCCCAGUCCCGAAAUAGUUCAGACGCGUAAGUGCAUCGCGGCCGCGCACGGAGGCGCACGCAGGCGUCUGCGCCGCCCCCCUCGCAGCGCCCGGGUGGGGACGGGCUGUGCGGAGCGCGGCUGCACACCGGGCUGUGCGGGACGGACGGGCGUGUGCGGGGGUGCGCGGCGAGGCCCCGCUCGCUCCUUCCAGCCGGCAGCGCGGAGGCGGCGGGAAAGGGCUGGAGAGACCCGGGGCGGGGGCAGGUACCGGUUACCGGUCCUAAAACCGGCAGCGGUGACGUGCUUGGGACCGUGGACCUGUGCACACGGCAGCCUUGUGGCACGGCAGCGUCAUCCUCCCUCACCUGCCCCUUCUCUUCCCCUUUCUGCACUUUCUUCCCCUUCUCUCCGCUUUUCUGCCACUUUGUGGCACGUUGUCCCGGGCUUGUUACCAACUCGUUACAGCAGUGAUUUCCUUUUUUGACUCGGUGCCGUACAGCAUCUAGAGCAGUGGAGCCCGGUCCCCGGUAGCCCAGGUAGACGUCUGCUGCCGCAGUAAAUACUAACAGACAACAAACGCAGACGACUGCUUCCCGAGUGCCGCCUGGGAAGCGCGGGGAGCGCUGGGCGGGAGGGACUUUCUGGGGCGCCGAGUCCAGCCCUGGGUAACUGCGGGACCCGUAUACGCACGGGCAGUGUCAUCCUUCUAAGUGACAGCACUCUUGGAGGAAAAGUAAAGAAAAAUAUCGUUGGAGAGCACUGGAUCCUGAUGUAGGUAACUGAAUGUUGUAGCUGCAUGUGUCCUUGAAGAAACAGCAGAAGAAAAGCAAACCUUGAAACUUCCUGGUUUGACAUUUUUUUUCAAAAAGUUCUUGUUUGAAUCUAUUUCCUUUUUGUUUGGUUUGGUUAAGUGGUCUGGUUUGGGCCAAGAUUAGAUACUUACUGAUUUAAUAGAGGAUUUCUUUCAAGAAGGGGGAAUGCUGAAACUGUAUGCUAUGCUUUCACUGGAAUAGUUGAGGGAGUUUAAUCUGUUCUCUCAGUAUUUUCUGUGAUGCUGUUUUUCAGUCCUUAACAUUUUUUGUGGUUGUAACAGGUAUGGGGUUAAAUAAAUGCAUCAUGGUUUGCAAGAGGGGUGCUCCACCCAUGUGUUCUUGAAACACAGUGUACCAAAACCACUGUCUAUGAGUGUGAGAUGAGAAGGGCAAUCCAUUAAGGAAUCAUUUUUUUGGAUGUCAGGUUCAUGGCUAUUGACUUCAGCCUGCCUUGGGACACAACAAAGAGCAGCAUUUAUUCUGCUCCAUACAAUAAGGGAUGCUGCUGCUCCCACUGCAGUGGUUCGAUGUUCAGAUCUGAGCUUGAAUUUCAAAUACCUUCCAAACAAACUGGAUUGUCCCUUUUUUUAUAGGCAGCUACUUUUUCUUCCCUCCUUUCCUGCAUGCUGCUUACACAGGGUCCCGCUUCCCGGAGGGUCAGCUCCACACAGGCUGCCGACAGAUUACUGAAAUAUUGGCACCCACAUGUCAUCAUCCUCUUUUUCCUCCUCCUUCCUGGAUCAGUUAAGAAACCAGUUUUUCCUCUUAUUCCUCUCUGCUUCUUUGGUCUCUCCUCUUCUUGAGCAGGAAAACCAAAUGCUUGUGAUGAAGUAAUCCCUGUUUGUUGGCACUUGCUGCUUCAGAUAAUUUCUGUAAAAACAAACUCCCAAUGGAAGUGCUUUUCUUGAAGUUCUGUGCAAGCCAUGUUACCAAUUGAGCAACUUUUUGAUCUCUUUGAGCUUUGCGUGUAUGCUCUUAUCUGAUUUUUGUACCAACUACCACCAUUGUUUUUGUCUGUGUCGAAAUCGGUAUGCUUGAAAGCACGCAUUUUGGAAAUAAAGGGUGCAAUUUUUAAACAUUAAAUGCACAAAGUGUGCAGGUAUGUGCGCUUGCCAAAUUUAUAUGUGCUGUUACGAUCAUUGUGUACCCGUAUUAGACAAUAUGCCAGGGCAGAAUUUGGCCAUUUACAUUCAGAUAUACCAUAUGGGCAGUAAAAAGCAUAGCUUUUGCUUACAAACUCAUGUCGUGCCUGUUUUUAGAAAUCAGACAUGAAACAUUUUUUUCCCUCCUUUCUGUUGAAUCAGUUCCAAGCUUCUUGCCUUCCUGCUUUGAUGUCCUCUUUUUCACUCGUAACCAUGUUUUUCUCCAUUCUGCUUUGCAUCUUCUUUCAUUUGUCUUGAACAAAUUCCCCCUCCAAAAUUAUAGCAAACUUCUUUCUUCUUCCAAAUAUUCUUACUAAAGUAGUGUGUGUUUUGGGAAUUUUCACUGUGCUUCUGGGCUCUGCACAUGCAAAACACUUCUAUAACAAAAAUAAUAGCAUUAUUAUUUGUAUAAGAAUGCAUAAUUAGCUUGCAUAUUUUAUUACAUCAUAUGGGAUUAUCCUUAUCUAAAGUUUCUAUUCAUCUCUUCAGCAUUAUUACUGAGAACAGAUUCAUCAACAUGAAAGUAAUCGCAUUAUGGAUAAGCCGUUACAUUAACUCUAAUCCAAGAAUUUGAACAGAUCUAGGCUGGACUGUGCUGGCUUGGACCAAGCUGAUUAUGUUGUAAAACUGAAAUACUGGUUCUCAUUGCUACUGAUCAGAGGAGAGACAGAUAUGAAAUUGGCUUCUAGGUAAUGAUGUCAUCUGAACAUCUGAAAUCUUAGGCAUACAUUUGUGAAAAAGUAUGUUGCGAACACAGUCGUGGGUCAUAUUGUUAGGAGAAGACUUAAGGCACGCUGUGACAUCCUGGAAAUGCGGCUCUGAAAGUCUGCUUAGCUGUAAUGUUUUCUUGAAAUAAACAGCAAUCUUUCCUUCUACACUCCAUCACCUACAAUCCACUAUCAGGAUUCUUUUUAUUAACUUAUAUUUAUGUCUUCUGGAGUAUUUUUUAGUUCUCGGCUGUUUGUAUUCACUGAAGAUAAAGACAGUAUGUAUUUUUUUACAUUGUUAUAUAUGAAAAGCACAUAAAACCUAUCCAUUGUUUUCAAAAUGAACAAUAAUAACCGAUUCUGACCUGGAAAAUUAAAUGGCACAAAUUUGGAUAGUUUUAUUUUCUCUCUCCAGGCAGGUGCAGAGUAAUACCUCAAAAGAACCAUUAUUUUGUGCCUUUAUUCCAAUGUGUACAUAAAUGCUUGCAUAACCCGCGCACAGCUGCUGUACAAACUACUCAUGCCACAAGUAUUAGUAAUCCUAGCAGGGGAGGUUGCAUGGAAAAUUGGGGUGUGUAUGCUGAACCAUAUGUACCAUGCCCCUGAAUCAUAAAACUUCUGGUGCUGGAGCAGAGCAAUCUUUGGAGACUGUGGAUUUUACAGGCCUGUAGGAAAGCUGGAUUAUAUACAACAGCUGCACCUCACAGUUUCACUCCUGUUGAGGCUUAUCUUACUUUUGCAUAAAAGUAAGCAGGAAGCAGAAUUUGGUCCAACAUUAUCUUCCUGCAGUCUCAGCUUCUACUUUUAUUUAUAUUUCAUUUCCAUAGGAACAAUUAUUUAAAUAGUUUAUUUUGAAUACAUAUUCAAGCCACUCAAAUUGGAAAUAAGUUCUGGGCUGCCAGUUCUGAGCUGCAUGGGGUUGCAGAGAUACAGCGUGCUUUUUUUUGUCUUUGAUUCUGCCUCCAAAAUAACUUGCUGUGCGUCUGUGAUGAUUUAUAGCAAUGUUUCUGAACUUGUGAGAAGGAAGAUGGAAGUUGAAGGUUCGUUUGAUUUUCUACAGCCCCGGCCACAAACGUCCCUUCCAGAGUUGCUCACAUGAGUAUGCUUUGGCCCCAGUUCUCCAUGGUUUGAGGGACGUUCCAGCUCCCUAUCUGACGGAGGGAGGAGAUUUGCCACAUUACAAGUGGCUGCAUGAAGCAAUCUCCCAGAGCUUUAGCAGCAGAAAAUCGUUAAGCACAAGUUUAACACUGGAAGAUUUUAAAAUAAUAUGAAGGGACUGUUUCCUCUGCUGGUGCAAAUUGGCAUCGUACCAUUUGAGUAUACAGAGGUAUGUGUAUUUACACCAGCUGGGGAACGAACCCAGGUCUUUCCAGUUAUCAUAUAUAGGGGUUGGUAUUGCUGCUAGGGUUAUUUAUUACAUGUCAUAGUCUUUUUGUGGAGGAUAUUUUAUUUACAAGUGCAAUGCUGCAAUAGUUUACUCUUAUGAAACCGGGACUGCUAAGUUUUUAGUAGGAAACCUUUUUGCUUACUGAAUAGGGCUUAGCACGCACUAUCUUUGCUUUGCAAAUCGUGUCUUUUCAGCAAUCAUCCAAAGUCUUUUUUACAGUUGUCUGAGCCCCAUAGGCAAAUAUAUACUGUUAGACUAUUAAGAUAAUUUUUCAGUUAAGACAUCGUGAAACUGCAAGCAGGACAAUAGAAACAAAACCCCUUUUGUUCUGACUAAACUGUUCCUAAUGACCCCCUCUAUAAACAGUGGCACCAGCGGAGGUCUCAACAAGGCUCUUCAUUGAGUCCCCUUUCAAAAGGACAAGCGGAGCAGAACAUGGGGCAGAAACUCUCAGGGAGUUACUGCACUUCACUCCGCUUUGGUGGUCUGACCACAAGAGAGAAUCUGUUGUUUUUGUUGUUCAAGGCACCCAAAACUAAUAAUUUAGAAGCAUGAAGUUCCACAAUUAGCAUCCUAUAAAGAGUUCUAAAUAUUUGGGUUGUCAGGAAAAGAGCAGAAGGAAACUGUUUGUUUGUUUACUUAAAUCAAGGGGCUAUAAAAUGGAUCCUUAUGAAUUCCAUAUAAAUCUUCAGUAUUUUGGGGAGAGAUAAGUUACCUGUUAAGCUCAAAUGCAAAUAGGAGCAUAAAGUCUAAAGAAGGAAAGAUUUUUACAUUCCAGGAAGAUCCUUUGCAUUUCUUUUGGGCAUAAAAAAUAUUCUUUGGCAAUAGCAUGCGCAUAUCAUGAUCAGGGGAAAACUCUGUAGCAGAGUUCCCAGGUUUUUGUUGUUUAGCUUCUCGGGAAACUGAAGUUACAGUGACAACCUGAAACGACUAAAGACCGAACUCCUUUUCUGUAGGCUGUUUCAUAUAGAUAACUGUACCAUAAACAGUGUGUCUUCAUGCACUUGAGGGCUCUGGAGAUUAUGAAUCACUUCCUGAUUAGUUCUGUGCCUAUUUCUGUGUCCUGAAUACAUCUGAACAAUAGAGCAGAAGAUCUUCUAUUAAAACAAAAACCUAUCUAGA
Long non-coding RNA from Dromaius novaehollandiae (emu), 5209 nucleotides. RefSeq lists it as uncharacterized. The record is from RefSeq and is a predicted model, not a curated record. The transcript is spliced from 3 exons. Lineage: Eukaryota; Metazoa; Chordata; Aves; Casuariiformes; Dromaiidae.